This is a non-coding RNA of Proteus mirabilis, 199 nucleotides long. The record is from Rfam. Lineage: Bacteria; Pseudomonadati; Pseudomonadota; Gammaproteobacteria; Enterobacterales; Morganellaceae.
UUCUCCGCUACGUCCCCUCGCGACUAAUGGAAAUAUUUAACUUAACCACGUUUAAACACUUUCAUUAGCCGCGCGAAUUGUCGCAACUAGAGAGACUAAAUAACCAUCACCACAUUAAAACAUAACGACUCAUUUUUGAAAUAGCACUUUCUUAAAAAUAGCACUUUCUAGUAGAAAAGGGGCCUACGGGCCCCUUUUC